This 429-nucleotide ribosomal RNA is filed under the name Chloroflexota bacterium. Its description in RNAcentral is "Chloroflexi bacterium partial 16S ribosomal RNA". It matches the Rfam family "Bacterial small subunit ribosomal RNA", at positions 355 to 776 of the family's 1533-position model. The record is from RNAcentral. Lineage: Bacteria; Bacillati; Chloroflexota.
UGGGGAAUAUUGCACAAUGGGCACAAGCCUGAUGCAGCCAUGCCGCGUGUGUGAAGAAGGCCUUCGGGUUGUAAAGCACUUUCAGCGGGGAGGAAGGCGAUAAGGUUAAUAACCUUGUCGAUUGACGUUACCCGCAGAAGAAGCACCGGCUAACUCCGUGCCAGCAGCCGCGGUAAUACGGAGGGUGCAAGCGUUAAUCGGAAUUACUGGGCGUAAAGCGCACGCAGGCGGUCUGUCAAGUCGGAUGUGAAAUCCCCGGGCUUAACCUGGGAACUGCAUUCGAAACUGGCAGGCUAGAGUCUUGUAGAGGGGGGUAGAAUUCCAGGUGUAGCGGUGAAAUGCGUAGAGAUCUGGAGGAAUACCGGUGGCGAAGGCGGCCCCCUGGACGAAGACUGACGCUCAGGUGCGAAAGCGUGGGGAGCAAACAGG